GCUUCCUUCAGAAGCUUUAAAAUAAUUGCUACGGAGAGUGUGGAAUUUAUUUAAAUAUUACUGCGUCAUAUUAUUUUCUAAUCGUGUAAUAUGAAGGUACAAUGUGAAUCGUGUAUAUUGAGGAUUAAUAUAUCAUCGUCCAUAUUAAAACAGUUCCAUUUCUUUUUUUAUUUUUAAGUUCGAAUCUUAUAAAUUGGCGACAUCUUGAUAUGUGCCAUGCCAAAUAAUCUUUAUUUUCAGUGAUAAUCGCUUGACAUCCUCG
This 262-nucleotide long non-coding RNA is filed under the name Mytilus galloprovincialis (Mediterranean mussel). Lineage: Eukaryota; Metazoa; Mollusca; Bivalvia; Mytilida; Mytilidae. The record is from RNAcentral.